RNAcentral lists this ribosomal RNA (1598 nucleotides) under Allobates paleovarzensis. Its description in RNAcentral is "partial large subunit ribosomal RNA". It matches the Rfam family "Bacterial large subunit ribosomal RNA". Lineage: Eukaryota; Metazoa; Chordata; Amphibia; Anura; Aromobatidae. The record is from RNAcentral.
GCUAAACUUCUAGCCUCACUAAUAACCAUUUAAAUUCAUUAAUUUAUUCUAUUAUUUUAAAACAUUUUCUUAAUUAAGUAAAGGUGAUAAAAAAAUUUCUUAGAGCAAUAUAAAUAGUACCGUAAGGGAAUGAUGAAAUAAAAAUGAAACAACUUUUAAGCAUAAAAAAGUAGAGCUUUCCCCUUGUACCUUUUGCAUCAUGGUUUAACUAGUCCUCUUAGGCAAAAAGACUUUUAGUCUAAAUUCCCGAACCUGGGCGAUCUACUUUAAGACAGCUUUUUAGAGCCAACCCGUCUCUGUUGCAAAAGAGUGGGAAGAUCUUAUAGUAGCGGUGACAGACCAAGCGAGCCCAGUGAUAGCUGGUUGCUUUUUAAAAGGAUUUUAGUCCAACUUAAAGUCACUUAUAUCUAAAAAAAUUCGACUUUAAAGUAAUUCAAAUAAGGUUCAGCCUGUUUGAAAAAGGAUACAACCUCUACCAUCGGGUUACCAUGCCUUAUAAAAACAAAGUAGGCUUAAAAGCAGCCACCUUAAAAAGCGUCAUAGCUUAAUCUAAUUUUUGCAUAAUCCCUAUACCUCCUCUUAACCCCUCAUCACCAAAAAGCAACUUCAUACCCCUAUGAAAAAUUUUAUGUUAAAACUAGUAACAAGAAGCACCCCUUCUCUUAAAUGUACAUGUAACCCAACACGGACCCUCCCUUGGCAACUAACGUCCAUAAACCUAUAGUACCCCCCCCCCCCAAACCCCACCAACACCAACCUUAACCUGACACAAGAACAUUAAAAGAAAGAUUAAAAGAUAAAGAAGGAACUCGGCAAAUAUUAGCCUCGCCUGUUUACCAAAAACAUCGCCUCCUGAUUAACUAUAAGAGGUCAAGCCUGCCCAGUGACAUUGUUCAACGGCCGCGGUAUCCUAACCGUGCGAAGGUAGCGUAAUCACUUGUUCUUUAAAUGAGGACUAGUAUGAACGGCUUCACGAAGGCUAUACUGUCUCCUUUAUCCAAUCAGUUAAACUAAUCUCCCCGUGAAGAAGCGGGGAUUUACCUAUAAGACGAGAAGACCCUAUGGAGCUUUAAACAAUUUAAAACAUUUGAACUUUACACUACCACUUCCAGAAAUCUUCACUAAGCCCAUCAUUUUGUUUUAAGUUUUAGGUUGGGGUGACCACGGAGAAUAGUUUAUCCUCCACGUAGAAAGAAACUCCUUUUCUAAGCAAAAAGCCACAUCUUUAUGCAUCAAAAUAUUGACUUAAAUUGACCCAAUUAAUUGAUCAACGAACCAAGUUACCCUAGGGAUAACAGCGCAAUCCGCUUUAAGAGCUCCUAUCGACAAGCGGGCUUACGACCUCGAUGUUGGAUCAGGACAUCCCAGUGGUGCAGCAGCUACUAAAGGUUCGUUUGUUCAACGAUUAAAGUCCUACGUGAUCUGAGUUCAGACCGGAGCAAUCCAGGUCAGUUUCUAUCUAUAAAGAGUUUUUCCUAGUACGAAAGGACCGGAAAAACAUGGCCAAUGCCAUUAACACUAAGCCAUCCUCUUCAAAAUUUAUGUUUAAAACUUAAUAACCAAGAACCUGAUAUCAAUUUUAAGACCAAAAAUCUUAA